CCUACGGGAGGCAGCAGUGGGGAAUAUUGGGCAAUGGGCGCAAGCCUGACCCAGCAACGCCGCGUGAAGGAAGAAGGCUCUCGGGUUGUAAACUUCUUUUAUCAGGGACGCAGCAAGUGACGGUACCUGAUGAAUAAGCAACGGCUAACUACGUGCCAGCAGCCGCGGUAAUACGUAGGUGGCAGGCGUUAUCCGGAUUUCCUGGGUGUAAAGGGCGUGUAGGCGGGAAAGCAAGUCAGAUGUGAAAACCAUGGGCUCAACCUGUGGCCUGCAUUUGAAACUGCUGUUCUUGAGUACUGGAGAGGCAGACGGAAUUCCUAGUGUAGCGGUGAAAUGCGUAGAUAUUAGGAGGAACACCAGUGGCGAAGGCGGUCUGCUGGACAGCAACUGACGCUGAGGCGCGAAAGCGUGGGGAGCAAACAGGAUUAGAUACCCCGGUAGUC
RNAcentral lists this ribosomal RNA (443 nucleotides) under uncultured bacterium. Its description in RNAcentral is "partial 16S ribosomal RNA". It matches the Rfam family "Bacterial small subunit ribosomal RNA", at positions 338 to 795 of the family's 1533-position model. The record is from RNAcentral.